RNAcentral lists this ribosomal RNA (110 nucleotides) under Acanthosepion pharaonis. The record is from RNAcentral. Lineage: Eukaryota; Metazoa; Mollusca; Cephalopoda; Sepiida; Sepiidae.
ACGGACAUAUCACGUUAAAACACCGGUUCUUGUACGAUCACCGAAGUUAAGCAACGUCGUGCCUGGUCAGUACCUAGGUGGGUGACCGCUUAGGAAUACCAAGUGCAGUA